UAAUACGGAAGGGGCAAGCGUUGUUCGGAAUUAUUGGGCGUAAAGGGCGUGUAGGUGGUUCUGUAUGUCUACCGUGAAAGCGUACGGCUCAACCGUAUUUAGUCGGUAGAAACUGCAGGACUUGAGGCUGGGCGGGGCUGGUGGAAUUCCCUGUGUAGCGGUGAAAUGCGUAGAGAUGGGGGAGAACACUCGUGGCGAAGGCGGCCAGCUAG
Molecule: ribosomal RNA, 212 nt
Filed under: uncultured bacterium
Lineage: Bacteria
Description: partial 16S ribosomal RNA
Rfam family: Bacterial small subunit ribosomal RNA
Source: RNAcentral